GCAUUGGUGGUUCAGUGGUAGAAUUAUCGCCUGCCACGCGGGAGGCCUGGGUUUGUUUCCCGGCUAAUGGA
This is a non-coding RNA of Salmo salar (Atlantic salmon), 71 nucleotides long. NCBI's taxonomy places the organism in Eukaryota, Metazoa, Chordata, Actinopteri, Salmoniformes, Salmonidae. The record is from Rfam.